Molecule: small nuclear RNA, 110 nt
Organism: Dromiciops gliroides (monito del monte)
Lineage: Eukaryota; Metazoa; Chordata; Mammalia; Microbiotheria; Microbiotheriidae
Source: RefSeq, a predicted model, not a curated record
CUGCUCGCUUUGGCAGCACAUAUACUAAAAUUGGGACAAUACAGAGAAGAUUAGCAUGGCCUCGGCGCAAGGAUGGCAUGGAAAUUUGUGAAGCAGAAUGGAAGCUCUUU